UCCGGUUUGUCACCGGCGGUCUCCUUAGAGUGCCCAACUUAAUGCUGGCAACUAAGGACAAGGGUUGCGCUCGUUGCGGGACUUAACCCAACAUCUCACGACACGAGCUGACGACAGCCAUGCAGCACCUGUGCACGAUCUCCGAAGAGGGGCUCUCGUUUCUGAGAGCUUGCUCGUGCAUGUCAAGCCCAGGUAAGGUUCUUCGCGUUGCCUCGAAUUAAGCAACAUGCUCCACCGCUUGUGUGAGCCCCCGUCAAUUCCUUUGAGUUUCAGCCUUGCGGCCGUACUCCCCAGGCGGGGUACUUAUUGCGUUAGCGACGGCACCGAAGGGGUCGCUCCCCCCGGCGCCUAGUACCCAUCGUUUACGGCGUGGACUAC
Molecule: unclassified non-coding RNA, 378 nt
Filed under: uncultured Gemmatimonadaceae bacterium
Lineage: Bacteria; Pseudomonadati; Gemmatimonadota; Gemmatimonadia; Gemmatimonadales; Gemmatimonadaceae
Description: contains 16S-23S intergenic spacer region
Source: RNAcentral